CCCGCUGAACUUAAGCAUAUCAAUAAGCGGAGGAAAAGAAACCAACAGGGAUUGCCUCAGUAACGGCGAGUGAAGCGGCAAUAGCUCAAAUUUGAAAUCUGGCCUCUGGCCCGAAUUGUAAUUUGUAGAGGAUGCUUCGAGAAUGGUCCAGUCUAAGUUCCUUGGAACAGGACGUCAUAGAGGGUGAGAAUCCCGUAUGCGACUGGGUGCCUAAGCUCAUGUGAAGCUCCUUCGACGAGUCGAGUUGUUUGGGAAUGCAGCUCAAAAUGGGUGGUAAAUUUCAUCUAAAGCUAAAUACUGGCCAGAGACCGAUAGCGCACAAGUAGAGUGAUCGAAAGAUGAAAAGCACUUUGGAAAGAGAGUUAAACAGUACGUGAAAUUGUUGAAAGGGAAGCGCUUGCAACUAGACUUGCAUGCAGUCGAUCAUCCGAUGUUCUCACCGGUGCACUCGAUUGCAUUCAGGCCAGCAUCGGUUUCGGUGGUUAGAUAAAGGCCUUGGGAAUGUAGCUUCUCUCGGGGAGUGUUAUAGCCCAAGGUGCAAUGUAGCCUACCGGGACCGAGGACCGCGCUUCGGCUAGGAUGCUGGCGUAAUGGUUGUAAGCGACCCGUCUUGAAACACGG
RNAcentral lists this ribosomal RNA (621 nucleotides) under uncultured fungus. RNAcentral describes it as "eukaryotic LSU rRNA". It matches the Rfam family "Eukaryotic large subunit ribosomal RNA", at positions 24 to 664 of the family's 3401-position model. Lineage: Eukaryota; Fungi. The record is from RNAcentral.